GAGAGGCUCUCGGUUCGAACUCGGUGGUGGGAAAGGGAGUGACGGACGUGUCCUGUUUUGUAUGUACCGUGAUAAUAAGGAUCGGCUAACUCCGUGCCAGCAGCCGCGGUAAUACGGAGGAUCCGAGCGUUAUCCGGAUUUAUUGGGUUUAAAGGGUGCGUAGGUGGUUUGAUAAGUCAGCGGUGAAAGUUUGCAGCUUAACUGUAAAAAUGCCGUUGAAACUGUCGGACUUGAGUGUAAAUGAGGUAGGCGGAAUGCGUGGUGUAGCGGUGAAAUGCAUAGAUAUCACGCAGAACUCCGAUUGCGAAGGCAGCUUACUAAGCUACAACUGACACUGAAGCACGAAAGCGUGGGGAUCAAACAGGAUUAGAUACCCUGGUAGUCCACGCAGUAAACGAUGAUUACUAGCUGUUUGCGAUACACAGUAAGCGGCACAGCGAAAGCGUUAAGUAAUCCACCUGGGGAGUACGCCGGCAACGGUGAAACUCAAAGGAAUUGACGGAUG
This 505-nucleotide ribosomal RNA is filed under the name uncultured bacterium. RNAcentral's name for it is "bacterial SSU rRNA". It matches the Rfam family "Bacterial small subunit ribosomal RNA", at positions 409 to 919 of the family's 1533-position model. The record is from RNAcentral.